GUUGAUGGCCAUACCACCUUGAACAUACUCGGUCUUUUCUGAUCUCAGAAGCUAGGCCGAGUUGGGCCUGGUUAGUACUUGGAUGGGAGAACAGAGAAGCAGUACACAGUCUCCC
This 115-nucleotide ribosomal RNA is filed under the name Octodon degus (degu). The record is from RNAcentral. Lineage: Eukaryota; Metazoa; Chordata; Mammalia; Rodentia; Octodontidae.